Long non-coding RNA from Chenopodium quinoa (quinoa), 600 nucleotides. RefSeq lists it as uncharacterized. Lineage: Eukaryota; Viridiplantae; Streptophyta; Magnoliopsida; Caryophyllales; Amaranthaceae. The transcript is spliced from 2 exons. The record is from RefSeq and is a predicted model, not a curated record.
CAAAAACAAGUCGUAAUUGUGAAUUAAAAUGGCUUCUUCAAAGGUCUUUGUAAUCACCAUUAUUUUUGCUGUACUUUUUCUAGUCCCAAGCGAAAUUUCAGCACGUCAGCUAGCAGAACCUUUCUCAACCAAAAAGACGCAUGUUGUGAAGCACGCUAGUGAUCCUAUUUACUACUCUAAUCCACAAACAGAUCCUAAUUCGUAUCAAGCUGUUCCAUGUCAAGGGUGUAAUAAUUAAUGCAAUCUCAGUUUCCUAAUGUUCUUGAUUUAGCAAUUUUCGAUUCAUAUAUGCUGUUAUGUUUUUAAUAGAAUUUUACUUCCUUUUUUUUUUUUCCCCAUUUUUGCUGUACCCUACUUACCUCGCUAUAUUUAUACCAUUCAACUCAUUAUUUCUUACAUUCAUCCACCUUUUUAUUACACAUCCAUCUGUUUGCUAGAAUGAAUGUGUACUAGAAUUUAAAACAAAUAAAUAAGUGAUUCUCCUUCAAAUUAAGUUUUAUGUCUUGGGUAUAUCAUGUAUGUAGUGGUUCUCACUUGUAUUCUCUAUGUUGGUUUUUUUUGCAUCAUAAAUAACAUACAAACUUUCUAUUUAUGCUUGUA